GACAGAGGGUGCAAACGUGUUCGGAAUUACUGGGCGUAAAGCGCGUGUAGGCGGUCUCGCAAGUCGGAUGUGAAAGCCCAGGGCUCAACCCUGGAAGUGCACUCGAUACUGCGAGGCUAGAGUCCCGGAGAGGAUGGUGGAACUCUCGGUGUAGAGGUGAAAUUCGUAGAUAUCGAGAAGAACACCGGUGGCGAAGGCGGCCAUCUGGACGGUGACUGACGCUGAGACGCGAAAGCGUGGGGGAGCAAACAGG
This 253-nucleotide ribosomal RNA is filed under the name uncultured bacterium. RNAcentral's name for it is "partial 16S ribosomal RNA". It matches the Rfam family "Bacterial small subunit ribosomal RNA", at positions 524 to 776 of the family's 1533-position model. The record is from RNAcentral.